This 521-nucleotide ribosomal RNA is filed under the name uncultured bacterium. RNAcentral's name for it is "bacterial SSU rRNA". It matches the Rfam family "Bacterial small subunit ribosomal RNA", at positions 777 to 1297 of the family's 1533-position model. The record is from RNAcentral.
AAUAGAUACCCGGGUAGUCCACGCCGUAAACGAUGUCGACUUGGAGGUUGUGCCCUUGAGGCGGUGGCUUCCGGAGCUAACGCGUUAAGUCGACCGCCUGGGGAGUACGGCCGCAAGGUUAAAACUCAAAUGAAUUGACGGGGGCCCGCACAAGCGGUGGAGCAUGUGGUUUAAUUCGAUGCAACGCGAAGAACCUUACCUACUCUUGACAUCCAGAGAACUUAGCAGAGAUGCUUUGGUGCCUUCGGGAACUCUGAGACAGGUGCUGCAUGGCUGUCGUCAGCUCGUGUUGUGAAAUGUUGGGUUAAGUCCCGCAACGAGCGCAACCCUUAUCCUUUGUUGCCAGCGGUUAGGCCGGGAACUCAAAGGAGACUGCCAGUGAUAAACUGGAGGAAGGUGGGGAUGACGUCAAGUCAUCAUGGCCCUUACGAGUAGGGCUACACACGUGCUACAAUGGCAUAUACAAAGAGAAGCGACCUCGCGAGAGCAAGCGGACCUCAUAAAGUAUGUCGUAGUCCGGA